CACUUAGGAUAAAUAACCUGAGCAGUACAGACAGCGGUAAAUAUAACUUUUCAACCUUUAAUUCAGAUGGAAAAAUAUCCGCUGAGCGGACUUUACAAAUUUUUAUUCAAGAAGGAGGUAUUUUGCCAGUGAUCUGUGGUGUUCUCUCAGCACUGGUGAUUUUCUUAGUUGUGGGUGUAGCUGUCAUCUGUUUUGAGAGGAGAAAAAACAAAACAAAAAAAAGAGGAAGAUGACCAGGAAGUAAUGUACGCUGAUGUUAGGAUCAGGCAGCAGCAGGAGAAGCAAGUGAAGGGAAGAGAAGAGGAAGUGGAGUAUGGCCAAGUGAAGCUUUCACAGUGAUCUUAUCAGACUGAACCAACGUGAUGAUUGUACAGAAAGAUUGUUUGUGUCGCAAAAUCCUUAAAAUCAGGUGAUUUAGAUGGUCUGUGCAUUUAUACAGACUGCACCACUAAAUGCCCACAGAGGGAGGAAGUGAUGCUAAAUCCCUAAACAUC
Long non-coding RNA from Maylandia zebra (zebra mbuna), 494 nucleotides. RefSeq lists it as uncharacterized. The record is from RefSeq and is a predicted model, not a curated record. NCBI's taxonomy places the organism in Eukaryota, Metazoa, Chordata, Actinopteri, Cichliformes, Cichlidae.